Loxodonta africana (African savanna elephant) is the source of this 71-nucleotide transfer RNA. It matches the Rfam family "tRNA". From Rfam's summary of the family: Transfer RNA (tRNA) molecules are approximately 80 nucleotides in length. Their secondary structure includes four short double-helical elements and three loops (D, anti-codon, and T loops). Lineage: Eukaryota; Metazoa; Chordata; Mammalia; Proboscidea; Elephantidae. The record is from Rfam.
GCAGUGGUGGUUUAGUGGUAGAAUUCUUACCUUCCAUGCAGGAAACCAGAGUUCGAUUCCUGGCCAAUGUA